Long non-coding RNA from Alligator sinensis (Chinese alligator), 2159 nucleotides. RefSeq lists it as uncharacterized. The record is from RefSeq and is a predicted model, not a curated record. The transcript has 3 exons. Lineage: Eukaryota; Metazoa; Chordata; Crocodylia; Alligatoridae.
ACUGUAAUUAAGCUUCAAAAAAUCAAACCAAUUUUCUCUAGGGAAAACAUAAAAUGAUUCAUUUCUCCCUUUACUGUUUAGCUUUAGUUUGUUAGUUUUUUUCCUGUACUAGAUGGGUGCUCUGUGUGCUAGUGUUCAGCAACCUUGCUGCCUUUGACUUAGUGCCCUCUUCUGUUUGAUAGCGUCAAUACACACAAACCCAGCAGUUAAUUGUGUUAAAUUAAUCCAAACAGAGAAAACACUGUUAAAAAACGUUGAAAAAGAACAUAGGCUGAUUUUUUUUAGAAGCAGAAAACUACAAUCAUACUAGACAUAGAAAGGCUCCACUAGGAGAAAAAAAAAGGAAUUUUCACAGUCCAUAGUGUCACACACUUUUUCAUAAUUACAGCUUUAGAGGAAAAGACCUUUUCUGGAGACUUCUUUUUUGGUUAUAAAUUGCAUACAUAACAUAUGCUUAUGCUUUCUUUUUUACAACUUGCUUUUUUCAGUGCAUUCCUAAAUCAUUUCCCUUGUUUUACAAAAUUAUGGAACUGCAGCUAAUGCAAAAAAUUUCUUGCUGAUUCAAAUUAAAAACAACAUAACCUGAACUGGUUCAGUGAAGCUGUGGCAACAUAGACCACCUACCUUAAUGAGAAAGCGGAGUUCACUUGUACAUCCUAAUAGAGCUGAGGAGGAUUUGGAACCGGGAACGAUAAUCAUCAAUAAAAUAGUUGGAGGAGGAGGGGGAGAGCAAACAAACAGAAGUUCCAUAAUACAAUUUAUUGACACCAACAUGGGUCAUCAUCAUGGUUGGAAUCUUUGUAUCUGCUACAUUGACUUUGUCGCCAGAGCUGCUAGUCAUGGAGUGACUUCAGUAUUACAGCACUAACUCCUGUUCAGAAUUGAAUCAAACGUUUUUUCUUUAAAAAAUGCCUUCCCUGAGGUUAUCACAAGGAUUCUAAACUUCAUAUUACUGGAGUUAUUGUUUAUUAGUGGCUUAAUAAAGCAGCGAUUAGUGCAUCCAAUAUGGACUGAGGAUGAAGAAAAACAGCAGGAAACAGAAGAGGGCCAAAAAAAACAUGGGUAAAUACUUGCUCUUGUGGUAUUUUAUUUGUAUGACUGUACAUCUGCAGGCCACAAUUGAGACUGGGGUACCACUGUGCUCAGUUUAUAAAUACACAGCCAGUUUCUGAGGAGCUCAUGAUCUACAUCAGGGGUGUCAAAGAUCCAGUCCAUGGGCUGGAUCUAGUCCACAAGGCCAUGUCUUACAACCCUGGGUGCUGGCCCCAAAUGGGACCAGUCUGGGACACCCCUCUCUUUCCCAACAUGCUGGAUCCAGCACCCACAGUACCCACUCCAGCCAAUGCAGGAUGUAAGCCAGACAUGAGGAAGAGAGCUCUGCAGGUCCCCAACAUGCCAGAUCUGGUGCCUGCUCCACGCAGUCUGGUACUCACGCUACACACAGCAUCCACCCCAAACUGUAUGGUGUGGGCACUGAGUAUAGUUCACAUCCCAAUCCAGCCAGAACUGAUGCAACGUGCAGUGCUGCAUUCACUGGGAUCUGGCUUGCAGGGGGAGGGGGAGCAGCGGAGGUGGCUGUUGUGGGCCUGCUCUGGCCUGCAGGGCCAGCUCUUCCCAGUUCAUUAAACCUGUGGACCAGUCCCAUGCCACUCUCUAGCCCAUGAGGCCAAGUCAGUUUGACACCCUGAUCGAUCUACAAUAGUCAGAAGAGAAAAUAAAGGGAAGUGACUUACUCAAAACCAUACAUCAAGUCAGUGGAAAGAUCAGGAACAUCAUCCUCAGCCUCUCAGAUCCCAGCCUGAGACUACUCCGCAUUUUACCGUAAUGUCUAGUACUGAAGAGCUUUCCCCUUCCCAAGCCACAUGCUCAUGUAAUCUGAUUAGAAAGAUAUACUUUCAGUCUAAUGAGUUGAUUCAGAAGUUUAAGAUGUACUUAGAUUCAUAUACAUAUUUCUGUUAACUAGUAUAUUUCAAUUAGUUCUCAAAAUAUCAUUUAUCCUCCCAUUAUUAUGGUAAACAUUAAAAAUGGGAGUGGAUACAUACUAUUUCACAGCAAAUGAAACAAAAGAAUUGACAUCAUAUUUUGUUUAGUUGUUUUGCACCACCAUGUUACAAGAUUCAGCAAAAAUUAUUUGCAAAAAACUCCCAAAACAAAACCAA